AUUGAACGCUGGCGGCAGGCCUAACACAUGCAAGUCGAGCGGAUGAAGGGAGCUUGCUCCUGGAUUCAGCGGCGGACGGGUGAGUAAUGCCUAGGAAUCUGCCUGGUAGUGGGGGAUAACGUCCGGAAACGGGCGCUAAUACCGCAUACGUCCUGAGGGAGAAAGUGGGGGAUCUUCGGACCUCACGCUAUCAGAUGAGCCUAGGUCGGAUUAGCUAGUUGGUGGGGUAAAGGCCUACCAAGGCGGCGAUCCGUAACUGGUCUGAGAGGAUGAUCAGUCACACUGGAACUGAGGCACGGUCCAGACUCCUACGGGAGGCAGCAGUGGGGAAUAUUGGACAAUGGGCGAAAGCCUGAUCCAGCCAUGCCGCGUGUGUGAAGAAGGUCUUCGGAUUGUAAAGCACUUUAAGUUGGGAGGAAGGGCAGUAAGUUAAUACCUUGCUGUUUUGACGUUACCAACAGAAUAAGCACCGGCUAACUUCGUG
RNAcentral lists this ribosomal RNA (484 nucleotides) under uncultured bacterium. Its description in RNAcentral is "partial 16S ribosomal RNA". It matches the Rfam family "Bacterial small subunit ribosomal RNA", at positions 30 to 507 of the family's 1533-position model. The record is from RNAcentral.